UCAAGAGUCUACACAAGGUAAAGAAUGAAAGACUAAAUAUGUGGACGUGUAGAUUGUAGACAACACCCCAAAUAAUGCAUAAGAUAAUAGAAACAUAAACCUUAUUCUCAAUAUAUUUGGUUAAUCCUUGGGCUCACUGCAUUCCACCCCAUGCUAGUUGACUUCUAUCCAACGGAUCAUCCAGUAAAUUUAAAUUAAUUGGAAUCACAUUAGGCCAUGUUAAUUUCGGUCUAGCCUUUCAAGCCGAAUCUGCAGGAUUGCAUUUCUUUUGAUACAAGAACUUCUUUAGGUCCAUAGACGUAUCACAAGCACCCAAGUCAUUUUUCAGUUAAUUUAUCUUGGAUUUGUACCAUUUUUUGCAAUAAUUUAUCUUGGAUUUGAACGGCUUUCACUUGUUUGCCUAUAUUCUCAAUUCUUACAUUAUUUAUUCUAGUAUGAUCAUAUAUCCAUCAGGCAUCCUCAUUCCCAUCCUUAAAUAACAACUGAUAAGUACUUUUCAGAACAGAAUUAGUAUGCCAAUCAUGAUGUAGAGCUUAGCCAUCCAAAGUUAUCAUCAAACAUAUAUUUAAAACUACAAGGGGUUGGAACAAUUCAAAUAUUUGGGAUCGUAGUAAGCUAGGAAUAGAACUUUUUGCCAUCCCUUUGGCAAUAGAUAAAUAUACAUUGACAUGAGAACGGUCACUUUAGUAAGCCACUAAGCAUAAAGGCUGAAGCUCACAAUAAAGUUCAUGAUAUCCAUUUAACACAGGAGCAUGAAGUUAAUGUAAAACAUAAAGCACUAAAUUUCUGUCACUUCUGCUUCACGCAUUGUUCUCGGUUAUUCUAAGUUAUUCAGUAAACAAUCAUAGGGAUGAAAUCCCGAAUUCUUCUCCCUCAGGCAUGCCAUGUAAAUACUUAGAGAUUUUGAUUUAUUUAGAUAAGAAAAUUAUACAAAAGUCAAGGAGGGGGCAAAGUGUGCCCAGAAACCCAAAAUGAAAAAUAGUGAUUAUCUCUUGCGGGAAAAGAUAAGCUUUAUUGAAACUCUCCAUAGACAUCA
RNAcentral lists this long non-coding RNA (1036 nucleotides) under Olea europaea (common olive). Its description in RNAcentral is "long non-coding RNA (OEUR_LNC013740)". The record is from RNAcentral. Lineage: Eukaryota; Viridiplantae; Streptophyta; Magnoliopsida; Lamiales; Oleaceae.